RNAcentral lists this long non-coding RNA (422 nucleotides) under Chinchilla lanigera (long-tailed chinchilla). RNAcentral's name for it is "lncRNA (ENSCLAG00000023362.1)". Lineage: Eukaryota; Metazoa; Chordata; Mammalia; Rodentia; Chinchillidae. The record is from RNAcentral.
GAGGAAUGGAUCCACCUCUGUGUUGUGAUGUCUGCAGAACUGCCAGCAUGUGCUGUUGCAGCCAUUAUAACAGUAACAACUUUUAAAGGAGGAAGUAUGUUGCAAACAUCACAGUUGGAAACUUGAAAGUAGACUUUGCCUCUGGAGUAAAGGAAUGAGAACCCACUUGUGGGCUGACUGCCAUAUAAUGGCAACAAAAGAAAAAAGAAGACAAUAAAAAAGAUGUACACAACAACACAGUACUACUUAUUAGGAGCAAUAAUUUAUCCCCUAAAGAUAAUAUAAUCCAUGUACAAACUCAAAGAUGUCUAAUGAAGAUCAUCACCAGCACAUUAUUUAUCUUUCAAAAACUAGCUAUACGGUUUACUGUGCUGAAGAUGAGUUCACAUACUUAGGUUAUUUUUAAAAUAAACUGAUUAAAA